CUCGCAGCUCCAAAGGCUGCACACCUGAUGUCAAGGUGUUGGCUGGGUCACACGCUCUCUGCUUUUAGGGGAGGUCCGCCCUGUGUCUCCCUAGACUCUGGUGCCUGCAGCUUUCCUCUACCACCCUGCCCUGAACUCAAGGGUGACUUCAGGAUCGCUGGAAGCUUGUCUUAUGUCUGACCUCAAGUUAUGCGCCCUAUAGGUACUUCUUCACCCAUGUUCCUUCUGUCACUCCUAAUUCCGUGUGGGCCACUCUACCUGCAGCUGUGUCUGGUCCCUGCCCCAAGCACCUGGACUAGUCCACCUCCCAUGCAUUCUGCACUCCCUCCACUGAGUCAUGGAGGGGUGGAUGCUGGUCAGAUCACACUGCCUUUUAUGCCUCACUUCCUAGGCUUAUGAAUUGGUGCACAGAUUUCAGGACCUCUGGAUGGCUUGUUCCCUCACAAGAGGAACAAUCUGCACCCUCUUCAGGAAAAACUUGGUUCUUCUCACAGGGCUUGGUCUUGACCAAGAAACCGAGGACCCAAGACCCACUGCCCACCAGACCACUCCCAGAUUCUGACAGGACUCACCGUGAGCUGGGGUGGGUGAUUGGGGCUAUGGUUUCUGCAACUCAGCCCAAGGAGAGCUGGGUACUCCGCCCUCCCAACUCUGUCUCUCUCUCUCACAUACCUAAAGAGGAAAAAUUACUCCCAGAGGCAAUUGAGCCUAGAAGUAUAUUUAGGAUAAAAUUGCCUUUUGAAAACAGAAUUAUCAGACCUGAAACCGUUUCUUCUUUUCCCCUCUGAUUUCCAGAAUGUUCCUCUGGGCUGAUGUAGAAAGAAAUGAGGCCAUUACUAGGCUGUUUACCCAAUGAUGGCAACAAAUAGAACUUACAGAAGCCAUGAUAUUCUGUGUUCUACUUUGUCCAGAUUAUUCUCCUUGGCUGCUUGGUCUUGGGCCAGUCUCUAAGAAGAAAAGCCAGAAAAGUUUUAUGGUCACCCUAGCAGCCAACCAUCUAGGGACUGAGGGCGAAGGUAGUUGUCUUCAAGUUGUGUAAACAUUCGUCCAGGGCUGAGGUAUUCGCUGACCACAGCUUGAGCUGGCUGCUGUCCUGAGGUAAGAAGGUCCAUUUGUAGUGGCUGAAAGCUGCCUCCAGUGCAUGGACAAUUGAUGGCAGGUCAGCGGCAUUAUUUUUAUGAAUGUAGCAAUAAUAUAAUGUAAUUGGAGUACAUCAAAACAAAUGGCCAUCUGUGGUGGGCUCCAUUCACUGCAUUCUGGAAAUUAAUGAUGUCUCAUUGAAGGAGCAUUCCACGCAGCUCUCUGGCAUGUGCCCGGUGGUGUUCCGUAAUUUCAUAGUCCACAAACCAUAAUGACACAAUUUUCUCAGAGGUGCACUCGUCUGUCUGUGUCUCAUAUUGAUCUCUUUCCACUGUGAACUAAUUUGGGGGUUAUAUAAUUGUUUACAUGAGCCAGAAAAUGACCAAGAGGGGAGAAAUAAUACAAAGUAAAGGAUUCAAGCAGUCUUCUAAAUACAUUGAUAAUGAAAUUUAUUCUUUGAAAAUCUAGGUUCUCAAUCUAAUAUAAAUACAUAGACCAGAGUAAGGAAGUCUAAUAGAGUAAAGGAAGGAGGUCAGGAAAGGAGAAGGAGGGAAAAGGAGGGGAUCAUGAGCUGAAAUGGAAUUCCAAGCAUGUAUGAGUUUGUAGGAUGAACCCAACUACUGUGUAUAACUGUAAGGUUCUAGAAAAAUGUAAAACAGCUUUAGAAUAAGAAAGAAAACCUGGGUUCAGAUCUGGUUUUCCAAGUAGUCACUAUCUGCACCUUUAAUCCAUCAAUGCAUCCAUUCGUGGGCACAUAACAAACCACGAAAGCAUCUGUCCUCUAGGAGACCCUGCUGGGCCUGAGAGAGACUCCACGGAGAGUCUGUAAAAGUCUUCCAUCAGGGGCGUUCUAGCUGAGCCAGAGAUGAGUGACCCAACCUCCCAUAUCCUGCAGCUCGGUCAGUGCAUGUGGAUGGACACAUGCCUUUAUUUAAUGUCUUUAUUUUUAUGUGAUCCUGAGGAUGGAACCCAGCGCCACACACAUGCUAGGUGAGCUGGACACACGGGGCCAGGGAGUGCAUCGGCAGGCGCCUUCCAGCGGCUGAGGCUGGGGAGAGGGCCCGGCAGAGACGCCAGGAGCUUUGCAAGACAGGACUCUUCCAUGUCUUAAUUACCACCAUGGCUUCAUUACUGGGGAUUUGUCCAAAUUCUUACAACUGUGCCCCCCAAAAAAGGCCAAUUAUGUGUUACACAGUCGGUGAUGGCGGAGCCACAGUGGGAACGCUGGCAGGACCUCAAGGCUUCUCUUAUCUUCCCUUUUACUGCAGCCAACUCUGCAUUUACAAGGUAUAAUCAUAGAGAAGCAUCAGUAUCCAUAAUGGCAAGUGAAAAUCUGUUUUGCAAGGUUUCUGCGAGAAGUAUUUGAGAACUACUAUGUAAAAUAACAAACCACCGCCAGGCUGACCUCUCACCAUCAAGGCAGGAGGAGAAGGGCCACCCAGGGAGGCUCAAGGUGAAGAGUGAAACAAGACCCCUCCCCAGCUGCACCACUCCUCCUCUCACCAGGGAGACCCACGGUCCUUGGGAGGACCGUGUGAGGUGUCGCCACUUCCUUCUUGUUGGGAAGCAUGGGAAGUAGCCUGGCACUUACUCCAGGUGGGUUUGAAGAACACCAAGAAGUCUCCGUUCGGCAAGAGCCCAGCGCGAGGCAUCCACCUGGGUCUGCCAGGCUCCCUGAAGCUGGAUUUGCAAAAUGAGCACUUAACUGGACAGCAGUGCCAACUUCCGGGGCACUUGACGAUACCCACUCAGCGUCAGUCAGUCCUUAGCGAACCGUCCCUGUGAAGCAGACAGAAGAUGCAGCUCACUUGAGAGCUCAGUAAAAGUUCUGCUCUUUUUUGUUUGUUUGUUGUUUGUUUUUAAACAGACGAAAGGAAAUAUCAAGGUGAAUUCCUGUAUCCUGCCAUAAUGCCUAGUGGGUCAAAAUACCAAAUUGAAUGCUUUUUUUUUUUCCUUGCUAAUGCAACUAGAUAAAUAAGUACGUUUCAGUCACAGUGUUUUAUUAACUUUUUGGAGUCUUAAUUUUCCAACUCUGGCACCAGAAUUUUGUCAUUAACAUACCAUUAAA
Molecule: long non-coding RNA, 3148 nt
Organism: Sciurus carolinensis (gray squirrel)
Lineage: Eukaryota; Metazoa; Chordata; Mammalia; Rodentia; Sciuridae
Exons: 5
Source: RefSeq, a predicted model, not a curated record